UUGUGCUACUCAAAAAAAACCCACUCAAAACAAGAGCAACCUAACUGCACUCACGACGUGGGGUGGAUACCCCCUGAGUUGUCCAAAAACACCAUUAAACUUAAAGAAAGUGACUGAUUUGAGACAGACUGAUCUUGACGACCAGGCAUUUACUGGGUGGCCCCUAAUGGAACUCAGUGGCUACGUGGAAUAAAUCUUUGGCCCUGGCUUCCACUUGGGUGGCUAGGACGUUGCACCCUCGGUUCCCCGUGGAUGCAAGGAAGGGCUUGCCCCAAAUUAACAACUGUCACUAAUCUCCCUCUCCUUAAAGCCAGGUGGACUCGUGCAGGUUUUCACUGGUACAGUCACUUAGCUGCCCCAUUUGUUCCUUCUAUAGGGUUAUAAGAUGUCAUAUUGCAUACAGAAGCCUUGACUCAGUUCACCCAACAGGCUCUUAACAGUAGCCGAACUGGAAUAUCACUAUUGAAUACUGAAAUGUCUUUAAUGAGAAAGGCCAUCCUCCAAAAUGGAACGGCCCUGGACAUGACAAGUGGGUCACAAGGUGGUCCUUGUGCUGUCUUCCAAGCUGAAUGUUGUGUUUUUAUACCUGAUGAAUCUUCCAACCUCUCAUUUUUGUUAAGUCACGUGAGAAAGUACGGAAGUGCCUUUAGCGAUCCUACACCCAGUCUGAACGAUUUGUUUAGUUGGCUUCCCACAGGCUUUGGCACAUUUCCACAGUCCGGAUUACAAUUUCUCCUUCUGCUGCUCCUUGGAAUUUUUGUAUUGAUCACAGUAUUUAAACUAAUCACUGUUUUCUCUACUCAGUGUUGUCAAACCAGCAUUCAGGUCAAGUGGCAGUCUCAGGACAGCUAGAGCCAAUAUGCAGAAUUGCGUUCCUAACUUCGACGUCUGUCCAAGAUGUUCUUGUGGAUGUACAGACGCAUCCUCAUGAACGUGGCCAUGCCUCAUCUUGUCUGCCGUGUUGUUCAAAUGUGGCCCUCCCUAACGAUAAAUAAGAGAAUACCUGUGCAGACUCGUUCCUAUUUCCCCCACCCAAGGACAGAGGGACCCAGGGCAGGUGCCAUCCAGGCUGAUCCUGAGGGACUAAGGAAAUUGAUCAUCAGUGCUACCAUUCUGGUAGAUUUCGAUCAAAAGGGAGAGACAUGGAAUUGGGAAAAGAUGGAAUCCCUCAUAUUAUGGCACUAAAACGGAGCCAGGCGGCCCUGAGGAGGAGAGGAACAAAUUCCUCCUUCAGGAUGAGCUCUUGAACUCAUUAGAAGCCUGAAAUGUGUCUGCAGCUUUCUCCCGUUCCUGCCAGAGUCACCUCUGCACAUUCCUGAGUUUAAUGGCUUGUGUCAACCGACCCUCACCCCCACGACUACCUAGCACCUGGAACUUGUUAAAAAACAUUCCUUCUCUUUUUUUCUUUGCCUUUGUUAGUCUCAACAAUAAAGCUUGCCUUCUCCCUUCAACCGUCAGAACCCAGCUCAAGUGCUGCUGGAAUCCGCAUUCCCGGGCUGCACUGCUAACCAGCCCCGAAUAAACUUUUUGUUUUAAGUUUA
This 1541-nucleotide long non-coding RNA is filed under the name Equus asinus (donkey). Its description in RNAcentral is "lncRNA (ENSEASG00005030029.1)". Lineage: Eukaryota; Metazoa; Chordata; Mammalia; Perissodactyla; Equidae. The record is from RNAcentral.